GAUGAACGCUGGCGGCGUGCUUAACACAUGCAAGUCGAGCGAGAAACUACAUGCAGACACUUCGGUAGAAGCGAGUAGCGGAAAGCGGCGGACGGGUGAGUAACGCGUAGGCAACCUGCCCUUCACAGAGGUAUAGCCUCGGGAAACCGGGAUUAAAACCACAUAAAAUCAUAGGUUCGCAUGAACCAAAGGUCAAAGAUUUAUCGGUGAAGGAUGGGCCUGCGUCUGAUUAGCUGGUUGGUAGGGUAAAAGCCUACCAAGGCGACGAUCAGUAGCCGACCUGAGAGGGUGAUCGGCCACAUUGGAACUGAGACACGGUCCAAACUCCUACGGGAGGCAGCAGUGGGGGAUAUUGCACAAUGGGGGAAACCCUGAUGCAGCAACGCCGCGUGAGGUAUGAAGGCCUUUGGGUUGUAAGCCUCUGUCCUAGGGGAAGAAAAAAAUGACGUACCCGAGGAGAGCCCG
This 465-nucleotide ribosomal RNA is filed under the name [Eubacterium] saphenum. Its description in RNAcentral is "bacterial SSU rRNA". It matches the Rfam family "Bacterial small subunit ribosomal RNA", at positions 28 to 495 of the family's 1533-position model. Lineage: Bacteria; Bacillati; Bacillota; Clostridia; Peptostreptococcales; Anaerovoracaceae. The record is from RNAcentral.